AUAGGGGAGCCGGAGGGAAACCGAGUCUUAAUUGGGCGUUAAGUUGCAGGGUAUAGACCCGAAACCCGGUGAUCUAGCCAUGGGCAGGUUGAAGGUUGGGUAACACUAACUGGAGGACCGAACCGACUAAUGUUGAAAAAUUAGCGGAUGACCUGUGGCUGGGGGUGAAAGGCCAAUCAAACCGGGAGAUAGCUGGUUCUCCCCGAAAGCUAUUUAGGUAGCGCCUCGUGAAUUCAUCUCCGGGGGUAGAGCACUGUUUCGGCUAGGGGGCCAUCCCGGCUUACCAACCCGAUGCAAACUGCGAAUACCGGAGAAUGUUAUCACGGGAGACACACGGCGGGUGCUAACGUCCGUCGUGAAGAGGGAAACAACCCAGACCGCCAGCUAAGGUCCCAAAGUCAUGGUUAAGUGGGAAACGAUGUGGGAAGGCCCAGACAGCCAGGAUGUUGGCUUAGAAGCAGCCAUCAUUUAAAGAAAGCGUAAUAGCUCACUGGUCGAGUCGGCCUGCGCGGAAGAUGUAACGGGGCUAAACCAUGCACCGAAGCUGCGGCAGCGAACGUAUCACCCAAGACAACUUUACGGAGUUGACGAUUGACGGAGCGAAGCGACGUCAAAGCGUUCAUUAAAGUCGAGUUGGCUUA
Molecule: ribosomal RNA, 641 nt
Filed under: Salmonella enterica subsp. enterica serovar Mbandaka
Lineage: Bacteria; Pseudomonadati; Pseudomonadota; Gammaproteobacteria; Enterobacterales; Enterobacteriaceae
Description: partial 23S ribosomal RNA
Rfam family: Bacterial large subunit ribosomal RNA
Source: RNAcentral